CCUACGGGAGGCAGCAGUAGGGAAUUUUCGGCAAUGGGGGGAACCCUGACCGAGCAACGCCGCGUGAACGAAGAAGUUAUUCGUAAUGUAAAGUUCUUUUAACAGGGAAGAAAGUGACAUUUGACGGUACCUGAAGAAUAAGCUCCGGCUAACUACGUGCCAGCAGCCGCGGUAAUACGUAGGGAGCGUGCGUUAUCCGGAAUUAUUGGGCGUAAGGGGUUCGUAGAUGGCAUAGUAAGUCUUUGGUAAAAAUGCUGGGCUCAACCCAAUAGGGCAAAAGAUACUGCAAGGCUAGAGUGUGACAGAGGCAAGUGGAACUACAUGUGUAGCGGUAAAAUGCGUAAAUAUAUGUAAGAACACCAGUGGCGAAGGCGGCUUGCUGGGUCGAUACUGACAUUGAGGCACGAAAGCGUGGGGAGCAAACAGGAUUAGAUACCCUUGUAGUC
This 446-nucleotide ribosomal RNA is filed under the name uncultured bacterium. RNAcentral's name for it is "partial 16S ribosomal RNA". It matches the Rfam family "Bacterial small subunit ribosomal RNA", at positions 338 to 795 of the family's 1533-position model. The record is from RNAcentral.